Molecule: ribosomal RNA, 1669 nt
Filed under: metagenome
Description: SSU rRNA
Rfam family: Eukaryotic small subunit ribosomal RNA
Source: RNAcentral
ACGUGCGUCAGGCCCCGACUUUUCGGAAGGGGCGUGCUUAUUAGAUUUAAACCCAUGCCCGCAAGGGUCUGUUGGUGAUUCAUAGUAAUCAUUCGGACGUCGAGUUUUCGACGCGAUUCAUUCAAAUUUCUGCCCUAUCAGCUUUUGAUGGUAGUGUAGUGGACUACCAUGGCGUUCACGGGUAACGGGGAAUUAGGGUUCGAUUCCGGAGAAGGAGCCUGAGAAACGGCUACUACAUCCAAGGAAGGCAGCAGGCGCGCAAAUUACCCACUCCUGACCCAGGGAGGUAGUGACAAGAAAUCCUGAUGCUGAGCGCUUUCAUGUGCUUAGUAAUCGGAAUGAGAGGUAGUUAAAUCUCGCUAUCGAAUGCUAAAAGAGGACAAGUCUGGUGCCAGCACCCGCGGUAAUUCCAGCUCUUUUAGCGUACAUUAUCAUUGUUGCAGUUAAAAAGCUCGUAGUUGGAUUUUUGUUUCUAGUUGCUCGGUUCUCCGCGGCGGCAUUUGUCGUCGUGUGAGAGCUGGCCGGAGACAUUUCUCGUCGUUCGUCGUGGCAACACGGCGGAAGGCGAAAUUACUUUGAGAAAAAUAGAGUGUUCCAAGCAGGCGUCACGCCACGAAUACUUCAGCAUGGAAUAAAACCAAUGGGCUUUCGUCCUUUUGGUGGGUUCUGGACCAAGUCAUGAUUGAUAGGGACGGUUGGGGGUGCUCGUAUUCCGGGGCCAGAGGUGAAAUUCUUGGAUUCUCGGAAGACGAACAACUGCGAAAGCAUUCACCAAGGACGUUUUCUUUAAUCAAGAACGAAAGUUGGGGGAUCGAAGACGAUCAGAUACCGUCGUAGUCUCAACCAUAAACGAUGCCAACUGAGAAUUCUUUCCAGUCUCUCGUGGGACACGUGCCGCAAGGUAACGGCCCACGAAUCGACGGAAGGGGCGCUCUGUGAGAAAUCAAAGUUUUCGGGUUCCGGGGAGAGUAUUGUCGCAAGGCACAAAUUUAAAGGAAUUGAUGGGAGUUUAUCAUCGGGAAUGGAUUGUGCGGCUCAAAUUGACUCAACACGGGAAAACUUACCAGGUCCGUACAGAGUGAGGAGAAACAGACUGAAGUUCUUUUUUGAUUCUUUGGGUGGUGGUGCAUGGCCGUUCUUAGUUGGUGGUGUGGACUGUCUGGUUAAUUCCGUUAACGAACGAGACUUCUACCCUGAAUUUACGUUAUAACUAGUUUUCAAUGUCUGUCAAAGGACAUUUUUUCAUACGAUAAACUUCUUAGGGGGACUAUGUGCAAUAAGCUCAUGGAGGCGGGAAGCGAUAGCAGGUCACUGAUGCCCUUAGAGAACCUGGGCCGCACGCGCAAUACACUGGACGGAUCAGCGUGUUCAUAGUUUCUCGUUGUGGGGCAACUUGCAGCGAGAAAACCUUGUUCGAGAGGACCGGGAAAUCAUUUAAAUCCGUCCGUGCUGGGGAUUGAGCAUUGCAAUUAUUGCUCAUGAACGAGGAAUUCCUUGUAGACGUACGUCAUCAGCGUACAUCGAAUACAUCCCUUGACUUUAUACACACCGCCCGUCGCUGUUACCGAUUGAAUGUUUUAGUGAGCUGUGAGGAGAAGAGUUGGGCAACUGAUUUUCCGAAUCACAUCAAACUUGAACAUUUAGAGGAAGCAAAAGUCGUAACAAGGUC